GGUUCUAUGGAGUAGUGGUCAACUCUAGCGGUUCUGACUCGCCUGCGCAGAAUCCCCUUCAUUGAAGGGAUGAUCGGUUUCCGCUCGCCCCCGGUUCGAAUCCGGGUAGGACCU
Molecule: transfer RNA, 114 nt
Filed under: Pseudozyma flocculosa
Lineage: Eukaryota; Fungi; Basidiomycota; Ustilaginomycetes; Ustilaginales; Ustilaginaceae
Description: Anthracocystis flocculosa transfer RNA-Pseudo(CTG)
Source: RNAcentral